GAUGAAGAACGUAGUGAAAUGCGAUAAGUAGUGUGAAUUGCAGAAUUCAGUGAAUCAUCGAAUCUUUGAACGCACAUUGCGCCCAUUAGUAUUCUAGUGGGCAUGCCUGUUCGAGCGUCAUUAAGUCCACUUAAGCCCUGCUUAGUGUUGGGAGACUGCUCCAGCGGUGCUACCCUGUAGCUACCCUGCAGCUCCUCAAAGACAGCGGCGGAGUUGUGGUAUCCUCUGAGCUUAGUAACUUGUUCUAGCUUUCGAGUACACCACUUCCCCUGCCGUAAAACCCUUAAUUUUUAAUGGUUGACCUCGGAUCAGGUAGGAAUACCCGCUGAACUUAAGCAUAUCAAUAAGCGGAGGA
This 355-nucleotide unclassified non-coding RNA is filed under the name soil metagenome. Its description in RNAcentral is "partial contains 5.8S ribosomal RNA, internal transcribed spacer 2, and large subunit ribosomal RNA". The stretch from base 1 to 120 matches the Rfam family "5.8S ribosomal RNA", at positions 35 to 154 of the family's 154-position model. The record is from RNAcentral.